GAACCCCUGCGAUAGUUAUGCCCCAUUUCAGCGUACGCCAUUCAAACCCAUCGCCCAUUUCGAACCCCUGCUGUGCGAUUCAAUGCAAUUUCAGUUCCUAGGUUGCGAGAGUUCUGUUGUGCAAUUCAAUGCGAUUUCAGUUCCUAAACCUACAUUUUGCUGCGAUUUCGAUUCCUACAAACUGCUGCGAUUUCGAUUUCGAUUUCGAGCAAACCCUUAAAAUCAAACCCCGCUGCGAUUUUAUUCAGAUUGCGAGCCUGCUGCGAUUCAUCUGUCAAAUCCCCAAAACCCUGUUGCGAUUUCUGAUCGAUUGACCAGGUAUUUUUGAUUUUGUAUAUUUCUUGAAUACAAUUUCUUCAUUUUGUGUUGUUUUGAUCUUUGAAAGUUUAAUGGUGCUGGAGUUCGGCUGGAAGUUCAUAGUAGUUAGUAACCACUAGUUUGUUUUGUUUUUUUGGCACUACAUCUGAAGAGAUCCUUGACGAAUUAAAUUUUGUUUUAAUAGAUGAAUGAAGAAGAAUAUAGCAGGUUUAAAAGUCACAUACAAACACAAGGCCAUCAAACAAGCAUAGACCAUGAAGCAAAAGAAAAUCUAAAUUCUAUAGGCUGCAUCUCCUUUAAAUUUGUAGAUUGGACAAAUCAAAUUGGGAUUUCCAAAAUAUGAAAUUAAGAAGUUGAAAAGAUAAAUUUUGAACUGGAAACUACAGUCACUAUCUUCUAAAUAAAAAAGAUUAAUGGAAAUAAGAGGAAAUAACCUUCGCUGCACUGGAGGUAUUCCUUCCUUCUCCUCAACCCGUUCCUUAAUCCGGUCAAUGGUAUCAGUUGGUUCAAUAUCAAUUUCAAUUUCCUUUCCAGUGAGAGUCUUCACCUUGAUCAUAGUUUCUCCUCUAAGUCUCAGAACUAAGUGCAGUGUUGACUCUUUCUGGAUGUUGUAAUCUGCAAGAGUUCGGCCAUCUUCCAACUGCUUGCCAGCAAAAAUCAGUCUCUGCUGGUCCGGAGGGAUACCUUCCUUGUCCUGGCAUGCACAAAUACACCACGUGUUCAAAAUAAGACGCAACUCAUUAGCACAUCAAGAGUGGUCUGCAAUAACUAGCCUAGUUGUUUAAACAAGUAACAAGAAGACAAAUAUAAAUGAGAAAUACAACAGACAGAUCCAAAAUUGAAUUAUAUGGUAGGCUAUUCAUUUCUUUUACUUCAAACAAUAAUUCAUAGGUUAAAUGUUCUCCGACAGAAACAGUUUUUGACAAUUAACUAUGCAUAACAACUUCCCACAAAUAUUGAAUAUAAAAACUUGUUUUCAUAGCUUCGCAGCCAACCUAUUGAAGCGUCCAAAAGCAUUCAGCCACUUCAAUGCCAUUGUAUUCUCACUGCUUGGUUAUAUUUUUUCAUGUUGCUCAUAUCCAUUUUGGAUGGGAAUUUUUAUAAAUUAUUUAAUACUCGAUAUUUUGAUGAAUGUGUAGGAAACAUAUGGAUAUUAAUCCCGGACCUACUAAUCCUAUUGUGUUAUGGGACCAAGAAAAUCACGUAUCGUCGGACUUAUGGCAAAAUAUUGUAAGUUUAUUAAUGUUUAGAGACUUUCAUUUUGUUAAACAUUUGUUAGAAAUAUUCAUGUUGUGACGAUUUAUGUUUUCAUGUUGUUGGACGUGUAGGAUGGGGGUGUGUUAGAAAUGUGUCAAAUGUCUGCAAAAUUAACUAAACGGAAUUUGACUGAACAACAAGAAUAUUUGCUGGAACAAGUAGGUUUUGGUGUAUUUUGUCAUCAAUCUAUAGUGUCAAAGAUUGAUGCAUCUCUUGUAUCUGCUCUAGUUGAACGUUGGAGAAGUGAAACAAAUACGUUUCACUUAAAUUGUGGAGAGAUUAGCAUUUUUUUAGAGGAUGUGGGAUUUUUAUUUGGGUUGCCCGUUUUAGGAAAACCUUUGACUUGCGGAGAAUUAGAAAAUCCCAAAACCUAUUUUAUAAGGGUUUUUGGGCAACAAGUUGUAGUAGAUGAGUGGGAACAAUGCUAUAAAAAGGGGGGCAUAAGUUUGCCAUGGUUAAGACAGAGAUACCUGGUGAUGCUACUCCAGAUGAUGUCGUAAAACACACCAAGGCAUAUCUGUUGUACUUGUGUGGCGCUAUUUUGUUUCCAACCAAGCUUAAAAAUGUUGUGCAUCCUAGAUAUUUGUUGCUAUUGGAAAGAUUGGAAGACGUAGUUACAUAUGCUUGGGGGUGGCAGUUUUAGGGCAUCUGUAUAGGGGUUUGCAUGAGGCUACUCGCAAAACAACGAAAAAAUUCGCCGGUUGUGCAACCCUUCUUAUGAUGUGGGCUCAUGAACGGUUCAACAUUGGUCGUCCUACCCCUAAGCCUAUGUCCCAGAAGUUGAUACCUAGGGCAUUAUCCUGGGCAUACUCCUCUUUUGAUCCUAAUUCAAAACAAUAUCAGCGCCUUAAAAAUCCACAUCACCAUCUUCUAUUUUACUGAGGAGAGUUUAAUAAUAUGUUGGAAACAGAUGGGGUGUGGUGUCCAUAUUAGUUAUUUGAUAGACGUUUGUCUUGGGAUUUUUUUGAGGCAAGGUUAGGUGGAGCUGCUCGUAUACCAUUGAUACAUUACGACAUUGUUGAGUUCCAAAUGCCUGACAAAUUUAUGAGACAAUUUGGAUAUUUGCAGUCGUAUCCAUCUAAUGCUGAAAAUAUGGUGGAAUUGCGGAAGGAACAUAAAUUAUUUCAGAGAAUAAAUUUUGAAAAUAAUAGGGCCAACUAUAUUCGCCUGUGGGAUGCAUACAUGGAGAGUUUAGAAGGACAAGUGUUGGAGGCUUUGCAACAUAUAUCUACCGAGGAUUAUAUGACGUGGUAUAGAGAAAUUACUCGACGACGGAUACACCAUACUCGACCCUUUAGGCGUCAAGGGGAAGAUUAUGAGCCACGGGUAUUCAUUGACCAAUAUUUGGCUGUAAACACUGUAAGUUAUUCAAUUUAUAAAAUUUAUUAAUGUUUUUGUUUUAUUAAAACUGAUUAUCUUGUUUUAUUAAUAUAAUUUUUUUUAUUUAAUUGUAGAUUGAGAGUGCAAAAGCUAUAUUUGAAAAGAUGUUGUCAAUUGGACAUCCACCUGAGUUAAGAAUCAUGUAUGACACAUGGUUCAAUACAUUAUACCAGCCGUUGAUGAAUGACUAUAGAGGGGUUCCAUUCAAUCCAAAUCCAACGCAACCUCAAGUUGGGCAGAUGGAGAUUGACAUGACAGGAUCCCAACCAACAGUUGGGCAGAUGGAGAUUGACAUGACAGGAUCCCAACCUACAGUUGUAGAGACUCAGCCUAGCGUUGGCCCUUCUACUCGACAUAGUAAGAAAGUGCCAGCUAGAAGGAUGGAGGGAACAAAGCACACUCACUUUUUCAAGUACUUAAAGAUGGAAAAAAUCAAUUGGCUAAAUCAGCAUUGGUUUAGUCCAACUCACGACCCAUCAGACUUUCCUCAUAGCCAUCCAGAAGGUCUAUACAUAUUCGUUCCAGUCUUCAACGAAAUCAACAGUCAUUUUUGCUUGUUUAUUUGGAGUGUCAACAAGUGGAAAGUAAUGCUACUUGACCCACUUUAUGAUGACAAACCAUUAAUGCCAGUGUCAUAAAUAUACCAAAACUUCUUUGCGAUUGUGGUGAGUUCAAAAAUAUAUUUUUUGUUUUUAAUGUCAUUACACAGACAUACAAUUUCUUCUAAUUCGGACUUAUAAGUAAUGGGUUUAUGAUUUAUAGGUGGAGUUAAUUCCUUUGCUGCUUCGUCAAGCAAAUCCUACAGCAAAGUGGCCAAAAUCGAAGCCGAAAGUUGAAGUCUGUGUGAAUAGACCAAAACAAUGGAACGCAGACGAUUGUGGCAUAUAUGUUGUGAAGUACGUGGAUUUCUUUUUACACCGUAUAAACAUAAUGGAUGAACUGAGGUGGACUCUUAACGAGGCUUAUAAUUUUAGAUUUAGAAUAGCACAUGAGCUUAAGAUGUGUAAAGCUAGGAACAUUCUUGAAAAAUAUAUUUGACUAACUUUUGUAAUACGUUGAUUUAAUUAUGACAGCUAUUAAAUUGUUUGAUUCACGAUCAUAUGACAAGGUUUGAUUCUAGUUCGGGCCUGAGUUUGAUUCUAUUGACCAUUUGCAGGGACCAUUUGAGACAUUUUUAGUUGGUGGAGACAUGGCUGAGGUCUGUGAUAUUAAACUUAGUAAUGAUGGUAACUCAAUGCUUCUGACCACUAGAAAGAAAACAGCGUUAUAUCUUUUGAGAAAAUGUAUUUUGUAUUUAUUAAUGUUUUUCUAUUUUUUUAUUUGAAGCUGCUUUUGCUUUAUUAGUUCACUUUUGCUUUGUGAUGCUUGUGAGUCUAAUAUGUCUCAUCAUGAUUCUCUAAUGCAGGGACCUGGGCAUCUCAAAUUUUUUGGGCAGCUAUACAACUCUGCAAGUACAUUCCAGAAGCAAAGUGGCCAAAAUCAUGAAGACCAAACCUGUUGAAUUACGAAAAUCAUGAAGCUACGGAAUUGGGAGCAUGGGUCAGCUUCCAGCAUGAAACGCCUAGUGCCUACGGAAUUGCACGCUUGGGUCAGCUUAGCUUCUCCCAGAAAGCUCAUUUGGCGUGUGUACAGUUUUGACUGAAAAGAUGGCACAUAUGUUUUACCCAAUCCAUUAUUGUUUUAUUUUUUCCCCUCUUUUCCGUAUGGCACAAGUUCAUGUUUAUAGUUUACUAUCAAUAUGAAUAUUUCUACUUGAUAAUUUCCACUAAAUAUUUUUACUUGGGGAGUUCUA
Molecule: long non-coding RNA, 4747 nt
Filed under: Panax ginseng (ginseng)
Lineage: Eukaryota; Viridiplantae; Streptophyta; Magnoliopsida; Apiales; Araliaceae
Description: long non-coding RNA (PGIN_LNC017352)
Source: RNAcentral